GCUCUCCUCUCUCAACACUCACCUCUCCAGCCCUACAAACUCUCGAAGAACCCAAAUUAAUCAAACCCAUCCUCCCGCUUCUUUUUUUGGUAUUUUUUUACAUUGAUUUUUUAACUUUUACGCCUUUACAUCAAACAAAUCGCUUUGGUAUGAUUCGAUUAUGUAUGAAGCUCCGGUUCUGUGGAGGGCUGCCGAUCGUGCAUUACGAUAAUGGAACGGGAAGAGGAGUGCUGAUGAUUCUUUCCCAACAAAUAUGAUACACAUGUAUUCUAAUCGUCGCGUUAGAGUUCAUCUACGGAUCUACAAGAUUUCGACAUUCAAAAGUAAAGGUGUACUUUUUCCGAUUCUUAAUUUACAUGUUUAUGUGACUAUUUGUUUUCUUAGUAUAUUCAAUACUUUAUGUUUUUGAAAGUUUUGAUGUGAUAUUCAGAUUUUCUCUUUAAGUUUGUAUUUGUGCGCGAUUAUCAAUUGUUGUACGUGUUGUUUUAUGUCAUAAUUUUGUCUUUUUUGAUUUAUCUGGUAGAUGAGAAUGUCGGUGAAGUGUAGUCAAACUUAUGAUGUAUAUUAAGUGGUUAAUAUGUUUGUUUUCUUAUCAAUUUUUUGAGUCACAAGUUUUAUUUGCAAUUGUGUUUUAUGAUUUUCUAAGUUAGAAUUUGUUCAUCCUUUUUGUUAUUGACUUGAUGAGAUAUGGUGAUGGUUGGUCAUGAUAAGAUGGUAGUAUCAAUUAGCGUGAUUUUGAAAAUAUUUUCAUUAAUUUUAUUGCAUGAUUAAAGGCUUUGCUUUGUAAAAUUAAUAAGGUUUUUGGCCUCUUUUAUUAAAUUAAAUUGGCUUUGAUAGUAGUUAUUGCAGUUUAAAUUUUAGUUUUUAAAUGGUAAGUUGACUCACUUGAUUGGUGUUAAUCUUUGAAUUUUAUUUUUUCUUGAAUAAUUGCUUGUAUAUAUAUGCUCUAAAUGCUUUAAUUCUCAUUGAUUGGAGUUUAAUGCAUUAUGUUAACUGGUGUAUAUUGACUUGCAGUCUUGAUUUGGCUUUUAUUUGUACCAUUUAUGGGUGGCCAUGAUUGAUGGCGUAUAUUCUUGGCCUAAUAAACGGCAAUUCAGUGCCAUUUUGUUGGCUUGUUUAUUACAUUUUAUUUAAUUUGUUACUUAAAAUUUUAGAUAUUUUUUGAAGAUUGCAAUUUUAUAUAUUAAUACUUUUAUCAUUAAUUAUUCUUAGUAAUUAUUUAUCUUGUGAUAUAUCUAGCCAAAGGGUNNNN
This 1252-nucleotide long non-coding RNA is filed under the name Daucus carota (carrot). Its description in RNAcentral is "long non-coding RNA (DCAR_LNC002075)". The record is from RNAcentral. Lineage: Eukaryota; Viridiplantae; Streptophyta; Magnoliopsida; Apiales; Apiaceae.